Molecule: unclassified non-coding RNA, 185 nt
Filed under: uncultured Botryosphaeriales
Lineage: Eukaryota; Fungi; Ascomycota; Dothideomycetes; Botryosphaeriales
Description: sequence contains ITS1
Source: RNAcentral
CCGAGUAUAGGGCCCUUUUAGGGCCCGAACUCCCACCCAUUGUUUACUACCUUUGUUGCCUCGGCGGGCCCGCCAGGCCCCCUUAUAGGGGCCCGGCAUCCGGCCCUCGCGCUGGACAGCGCCCGCCAGAGGACCAAUCAAACCCGAUUUUUACCGGCAGUCUGAGUAAAUAAAUAAAUAAGUUA